Molecule: non-coding RNA, 525 nt
Organism: Megalopta genalis
Lineage: Eukaryota; Metazoa; Arthropoda; Insecta; Hymenoptera; Halictidae
Source: RefSeq, a predicted model, not a curated record
UUCAGAUGUCUGACAUCAGGAAAUUCAUUUGUGGAUUUGCAUCAUGUUUUUCGAAUUGGCGUUGCAACUGUAAGAGAAAUUGUAGGAAAAGUUUGUGUAUCCAUCUGGGAGUUACAAAUUGCAACAGAGUUUGAACCUAUGGCAGAUUUUCCAAACUGCCUUGGCACAGUAGGUGGAAAACAUAAAAGAAUUCUAGACGUUUCGCAGAGCAUUCGUUUGGAAUAAUGGCUAAUAAAUGGCAGAUUAUAGACACUGAGAAAUAAUAUUGUGUUUGGUACAACUACGUUCGAAGUAGUAACCGUAUACUUCUGUACGAUAUUUGUGUAGCUUUCCAAGAUCUCACGAGGAUCAUUUACUACGAACAUGCAGACGUCCUAACAAUUUAAAAUACAGAAAUUCAGUCGCAGAUUAUUUCCUAAAAGAAGAAGCAGUUCAUGAUAAAAUGAUUGUAUUUAAUUAGUGUGAAAUAGAUGCUACUAUUUGUGUAAUUCUAAUUCUAAUCAAAAAAGUUUGUUCACAUACUUA